AGCGUAGGCGGGUGUUUAAGUUAGGUGUUUAAUCCUGGGGCCCAACCCCCAGUCGUGCACCUAAAACUGGACAUCUUGAAUAGUGGAGAGGUCAGUGGAAUUGGGGGUGUAGCGGUGGAAUGCGUAGAGAUCCCCAAGAACACCAGUUGCGAAGGCGGCUGACUGGGCACAUAUUGACGCUGAGGCUCGAAAGCAUGGGGAGCAAACA
This 208-nucleotide ribosomal RNA is filed under the name uncultured bacterium. Its description in RNAcentral is "partial 16S ribosomal RNA". It matches the Rfam family "Bacterial small subunit ribosomal RNA", at positions 568 to 774 of the family's 1533-position model. The record is from RNAcentral.